CAUAACGAGGAUUAAGGGCAUCAUGAGUAAUUAUUCGGAUGAGGUUAGUGAUACUGAAAAGCUAACAGAAAAGAAACCAAAAUAACAAUAAAAUUAUGUCACAAAGAAAAGAAAAAACUUAAGAAACAGAUUGAAUAUGACAAACAAAUGGAUGUCAUCAGUCGAAAAGGAGGUCUGGGGCAUAGUGAAUUGGAAGACAACUUUUCCAUAUCUCAAGUUCAGCUAUCUGAAUAUAAGUAGGCUCAGUUGGAGAAUGCUGUUGAUAUUAACAUUGAAAACUCAGAACUUAAAAAACAUAUCGGCAAAAGGCAAGAGUUUAUUUACAAAUGCCAGUCUUCUAUAAUCACUCAAGGCAGAAGAUAUGGACUUGUUGGGCCUAAUGGGUUAACUCUGUUAUGUCAUAUUGCUUCCAUAGCUCUGAAGAUUCAUCCUUCAAUUGCUGUUUUGCUGUGUGUGCAAUAAGUAUAGUCACAGAUGAUACACCAGCAGUGAGCAGUCUGAAAGCUGACAACAAUUAGCAUUACUGGAAAAAGCUUACAAAGCUUGAGAAAGAGCAGAUAAAAGGAAAUCUGAAGGCCACUGAAGGAUUAAGCCAAGUUUAUGAGGAAUUGCGGGCCAUUAUUGGUGGCGAUGCAGCUGAGCCCAAAGCUUGACGAAUCUUAUCAGGUCUUGGCUCUUGGGUUCACCGCUGAGAUGCAGAACCGACCGCCACCAAAAAUUUUAGCGGCGGUUGGCGGAUGCGUGUCUCCUUUGGCAGAGUACUUUAUUUGAAGCCUACUCUUCUAAUGUUGGUUAAACCUACCAGUCAUUUAGAUUUGAAUGCUGUCAUUUGGUUGGACAAUUAUUUACUUGGCUGGAAGAAAACUGAUCAUUGUAUAUCUCACGACCAAUCUAUCUUAGAUAAUGUCUCUACAGAUAUUAUUCACUUGGACAUGGGAAAACGUUGUUGGGUUUUCAGCACCAUACUGUUCCCAUCUGUCUGAUCCCUCUACUAUGAAAAUCAUCUCUACUAAUCAGACAUUACAAAAAGAUACAAGUAAACAUACAGACUUUUAUGUUUGUUACGCCCACUACGACCAGCAAAUUAGGUGCUUUCAGCAGUGUGAAGUGAAUUUGCUGUCACAUCAUGCUUCUUUUCCUGAUGACUUGAAAGCAACAUUGCACUAAAAAAGCCUUAAUGAGAUAUGGGAGUAGGAGCACCUCUUGAAAUCCUCCUUCCACUAAGUUACCCUAGCCCUGUUAAGGAUCAAGGACUGACGCCGAUUGUAUCAUCGCACCUUCAGGUUUGGAGUUUCGACGAGCUGUAGAGCUCUGUUUGUGGUUGUGGAGUGCUAGCGGCUUCUUUUCGUGCUUACGGGAUUAUCAUUCAUGAUUUGGUAUUAAUGCAGAGGAGACGUUGAAAAGAUGGACUCCACGUUCGGCCUAUCUUCUAUCAUCUUCCCCUUAUUCCAAAGGUUCGGCGGUGCGCGGAUCAUCAUUUGUUGUUGGUAACAUGUUUUCGUUAGUUAACCCGUUGGCUGCCACGUUUUUGUUCUCCCCU
This 1540-nucleotide long non-coding RNA is filed under the name Daphnia pulicaria. RNAcentral describes it as "uncharacterized LOC124351064, transcript variant X2". The record is from RNAcentral. Lineage: Eukaryota; Metazoa; Arthropoda; Branchiopoda; Diplostraca; Daphniidae.